CAAUUUUUAAAAAUGCACAAGUUAUAAAUACAGAAGAAAGAGCAACCCACCAAACCUAACAAGGACCCCCGAACACUUUCAUACUAAGACUGUAAGUAGAUCUCAGUUCUGCGUUUAUUGUAAGUUGAUAAAAACAUCUGGAAGAAAAUGACUAAAACUGUUUGCAUCUUUGUAUGUAUUUAUUACUUGAUGUAAUAAAGCUUAUUUUCAUUAACAAUUUGUAUUAAAAUGUGGGUUCCUUGAAUUCUUACGUGCUGUUUUAUUUUUUUGAGACAGGGUCUUGUUUUGCCACCCAGGCUGGAGUGCAGUAAUGUAAUCUUGGCUCACCGCAGCCUCAACCUCCUGGGCUCAAGCAAUCCUCCCAUCUCAGCCUCCCUAGUGGCUGGAACUACAGAAAGGGUACACUCGCCAGCAGUUUUGCCACGAGAGUACACCGAACAAAGAGACAGGGUCAUUUGUAACCUGAUGCGUCCACCCUACUGCUGUGUCCGGUUUCCAUUGGCUGGAACGGGACCUCACAUUCUGUAUUUGUCCUGAUUGGGAAGCAACUUAAAACUUUUUAAAAGAGGCGAAGGCAGAAGAGAACAAAGGAAGGAGAAAGUAACUUGUGGAAUGGUGAGAAAGGCAUGAGGCGAAUUCUCAGCCGUGACAAGGCUGAAGGCCAGCAGGAACAGGCUCUAGCAAAAUGGGUGCUGUGUCCCCUUCCUGCAUGUGGCAGAAAGUUGCAAAGGUAUGAGAGAGGAGACAAAUGGAAACCAUUCUCCCUUAUCUCCAGCUCCAAAUUUCCCUUCCCACU
RNAcentral lists this non-coding RNA (796 nucleotides) under Pan troglodytes (chimpanzee). Lineage: Eukaryota; Metazoa; Chordata; Mammalia; Primates; Hominidae. The record is from RNAcentral.